This 484-nucleotide ribosomal RNA is filed under the name uncultured bacterium. Its description in RNAcentral is "partial 16S ribosomal RNA". It matches the Rfam family "Bacterial small subunit ribosomal RNA", at positions 29 to 507 of the family's 1533-position model. The record is from RNAcentral.
AUUGAACGCUGGCGGCAGGCCUAACACAUGCAAGUCGAGCGGAUGAAGGGAGCUUGCUCCUGGAUUCAGCGGCGGACGGGUGAGUAAUGCCUAGGAAUCUGCCUGGUAGUGGGGGAUAACGUCCGGAAACGGGCGCUAAUACCGCAUACGUCCUGAGGGAGAAAGUGGGGGAUCUUCGGACCUCACGCUCUCAGAUGAGCCUAGGUCGGAUUAGCUAGUUGGUGGGGUAAAGGCCUACCAAGGCGGGUAUCCGUAACUGGUCUGAGAGGAUGAUAAGUCGCAUUGGAAGGGGAACACGGACAAGACGACUAAGGGAGGCAGCAGACGGGAAUGGUGGACAAUGGUCGAAAGCCUGAUACAACCAUGGGGCGUGUGUGAAGGAGGUGUUCGGAUUGUAAAGCACGUUAAGGUGGGAGGAAGGGCAGUAAGUUAAGACCUAGCUGUUUUGACGUUACCAACAGAAGAAGCACCGGCUAACUUCGUG